GGGAAGGAGAAGGAGCCUGUGUUCUCCCCAGCUAGCAUCGGCAGGGCGACCGGUCUGAGCAGCCCACUUCUGAGAAAGAACCAAGCGAGGAAAGUCAAGGGACUGGCGGGGGUCUCUGAACUCCCAGACCGCCCCCCGGCCCGGGCUCUUCAGCACAGAGCAUACAGCAGGCGGCGCUCCACGAAUGUUUGUUGAAUGAAUGAGUGAGCGAUUGCCUGUAACGCUCUAGGGCAGGACUGUUGUUACACUCCUAAAGUGAGGGACCCUACCUGGUGCAAAGGCCCUGCUGGAUCAGAGCUGCAAGCCCAAAUGGAUUCUGUGACGGUUUCCAGUUUCUCACUUCCCUGUGCUGAAAAUCAGUUUUGUUUUGAAAUAAAAAAUUACUAAGACUGGGGUGCCUGGGUGGCUCAGUCUGUUGGGCAUCUGCCUUGGGCUCAGGUCAUGAUCUUGGGCUCCCUGCUUCUCCCUCUCCCUCUGCUGCUCCCCCUGCUUGUGCUCUCUCUCUCUCUGUGUCAAAUAAAUAAAUAAAAUCUUUAAAAAAAAAAAGAGUGAGCCUCAGUGGGCAUUCUGGCGGCCCAGUUAACACUCCUGGUUCCCCUUGUCUAGGAACCCAGGCUGCUCAGGUGGACAGCCAUUGUCAGCAACCCAGGGGCGGCUGGGAUUUAAAGAGAGCCCAGGACUCCCUUCAGCCACUCUGCAAUGUGAGAAUUGUUAGUUGUCCCAGCAUGUAAUAGCACUUGGGAGAACUGUGAAAACAUCCGGGAUGGCAAGGGGAUCUUGCCAAGUUACCGGUAUACCUUGGAGUCGUCUAAUUCCCAAAAAGUACAGCCCCUUCUGUGCUUGGGAUCUCUCCCUUGGAGGAGUAAGCAUGGUGGAGAGUGUUAUACAGGAAGUGUGCGCCCCUCGCCUGGGGCUGCCCUCUCCUGGAGCCGGGGCUGCAGCCCCUUGGCCCCAGGGCCAUGCUGCUGUCAGCCUCCUGAGUGGGACUCCUCCAGGCUUCACCUCUUAUUCUGGAGGAGACCUUCUGGGGCAGACUGGGGCAGACUGCGUGUAAUUCAAGUGGCGGCAUCUGUUCAGCGAGGGCCAGAGACCCCACCUUUGAAGUGAG
Mirounga angustirostris (Northern elephant seal) is the source of this 1108-nucleotide long non-coding RNA. RefSeq lists it as uncharacterized. NCBI's taxonomy places the organism in Eukaryota, Metazoa, Chordata, Mammalia, Carnivora, Phocidae. The record is from RefSeq and is a predicted model, not a curated record. The transcript has 3 exons.